CUACUCUUACGGGAGGCAGCAUAUUCUUAUGGGAGGCAGCAGUGGGGAAUAUUGCCCAAUGGGCGGAAGCCUGAUGCAGCAACGCCGCGUGCGGGAUGACGGCCUUCGGGGAAGAACCGCUUCAGCAUGGACGAAGCGUAGUGACGA
This 147-nucleotide ribosomal RNA is filed under the name uncultured bacterium. RNAcentral describes it as "partial 16S ribosomal RNA". It matches the Rfam family "Bacterial small subunit ribosomal RNA", at positions 312 to 461 of the family's 1533-position model. The record is from RNAcentral.